AGCUCCAAUAGCGUAUAUUAAAGUUGUUGCGGUUAAAAAGCUCGUAGUUGGAUUUCUGUCGGUGAGUGGCGGUCCGCCCCUUGUGGUGAGCACUCGUCAAGCCACCGGCAUCCUCCUGGGGACUGCGCUGCACUUUACUGUGUGGCGGACUAUCCAGGACAUUUACUUUGAGGAAAUGAGAGUGUUUCAAGCAAGCAUCUGCCGUGAAUACGUUAGCAUGGAAUGAUAGCAUCGGACCUCGAUCUGAAGCUGUUGGUUAUUUGGGUCGAGGUAAAGGUGAAUAGGGAUUGUUGGGGGCAUUCGUAUUUAACUGUCAGAGGUGAAAUUCUUGGAUUUGUUGAAGACGGACUACUGCGAAAGCAUCUGCCAAAGAUGUUCUCA
This 381-nucleotide ribosomal RNA is filed under the name uncultured eukaryote. RNAcentral's name for it is "SSU rRNA". It matches the Rfam family "Eukaryotic small subunit ribosomal RNA", at positions 587 to 972 of the family's 1831-position model. The record is from RNAcentral.